ACUGACAGAGCUAGCGAGUACUCUCUUGGCCAGAAGGCCCGGGUAAUCUUGUUACACUCCGUCGUGCUAGGGGUAGAGCAUUGCAAUUAUUGCUCUUUAAC
This 101-nucleotide non-coding RNA is filed under the name Ustilaginoidea virens. Its description in RNAcentral is "Eukaryotic small subunit ribosomal RNA". It matches the Rfam family "Eukaryotic small subunit ribosomal RNA", at positions 1502 to 1604 of the family's 1831-position model. Lineage: Eukaryota; Fungi; Ascomycota; Sordariomycetes; Hypocreales; Clavicipitaceae. The record is from Rfam by way of RNAcentral.